GAGUCCAAACUUUCAUCGGCUGGGCGAGGCCUGUUCGGUUGGACAUGCAUGAGAAUGUGCCAAGUUGAUCGAGCAUAUUGAUCCCCUUAUGUUGGACAUGCAUCUGGACAUAAUUAGAUGGUUCACUUAUGAAAUGAUGCUGUAUGCAGGUGAGUGAUGUGAGAGGCUUGCUGGUUUCCUCAACCGCUCAUCAUCCUUCCAGCUAAAACAGCUAUUUUCUCUUGUUAAAUGCUUGAAAAUUCUUGAUGGAUUUUGUAACCUUAAUGUUUCUCCAAGCUUCAGUGCUCAUCACCAAAAAGUCUUUAUUUGGUUUC
Molecule: long non-coding RNA, 314 nt
Organism: Musa acuminata AAA Group (dessert banana)
Lineage: Eukaryota; Viridiplantae; Streptophyta; Magnoliopsida; Zingiberales; Musaceae
Exons: 2
Source: RefSeq, a predicted model, not a curated record